This 738-nucleotide ribosomal RNA is filed under the name uncultured bacterium. Its description in RNAcentral is "bacterial SSU rRNA". It matches the Rfam family "Bacterial small subunit ribosomal RNA", at positions 9 to 756 of the family's 1533-position model. The record is from RNAcentral.
GAGUUUGAACCUGGCUCAGGAUAAACGCUGGCGGCGCACAUAAGACAUGCAAGUCGAACGGACUUAACCAUUAGUUUACUAUUGGAGCGGUUAGUGGCGGACUGGUGAGUAACACGUAAGCAACCUGCCUAUCAGAGGGGAACAACAGUUAGAAAUGACUGCUAAUACCGCAUAUGCCUAAGUAACGCAUGUUACAAUAGGGAAAGGAGCAAUCUGCUGAUAGAUGGGCUUGCGUCUGAUUAGAUAGUUGGUGGGGUAAAGGCCUACCAAGUCGACGAUCAGUAGCCGGACUGAGAGGUUGAACGGCCACAUUGGGACUGAGAUACGGCCCAGACUCCUACGGGAGGCAGCAGUCGGGAAUAUUGCGCAAUGGAGGAAACUCUGACGCAGUGACGCCGCGUGCAGGAAGAAGGUUUUCGGAUUGUAAACUGCUUUAGACAGGGAAGAAACAAGACAGUACCUGUAGAAUAAGCUCCGGCUAACUACGUGCCAGCAGCCGCGGUAAUACGUAGGGAGCAAGCGUUAUCCGGAUUUAUUGGGUGUAAAGGGUGCGUAGACGGAGAAGCAAGUUAGUUGUGAAAUCCCUCGGCUUAACUGAGGAACUGCAACUAAAACUACUUCCCUUGAGUGCUGGAGAGGAAAGUGGAAUUCCUAGUGUAGCGGUGAAAUGCGUAGAUAUUAGGAGGAACACCAGUGGCGAAGGCGACUUUCUGGACAGUAACUGACGUUGAGGCACGA